RNAcentral lists this ribosomal RNA (234 nucleotides) under uncultured Actinomycetales bacterium. RNAcentral's name for it is "partial 16S ribosomal RNA". It matches the Rfam family "Bacterial small subunit ribosomal RNA", at positions 96 to 334 of the family's 1533-position model. The record is from RNAcentral. Lineage: Bacteria; Bacillati; Actinomycetota; Actinomycetes; Actinomycetales.
UGGCGAACGGGUGAGUAACACGUGGGUGAUCUGCCCUGCACUUCGGGAUAAGCCUGGGAAACUGGGUCUAAUACCGGAUAGGACGAUGGUUUGGAUGCCAUUGUGGAAAGUUUUUCGGUGUGGGAUGAGCUCGCGGCCUAUCAGCUUGUUGGUGGGGUAAUGGCCUACCAAGGCGUCGACGGGUAGCUGGCCUGAGAGGGUGUACGGCCACAUUGGGACUGAGAUACGGCCCAG